CUCCCCUUAAAUUGUGCUCUCCUACCAAUGUUCGAUGGCGGUGAUUAUUUCCUCCGUCUUAUCAAGUCUAUUCAGCUCUCCAAUGGUGUUCGUCUCCAACCAUUCAAUCUCUUUUUUCAACUACAGCAACCCAUCAGGAACUACCCAAUCAAGCAGUCUACGCAUAUAUACUCUAUACUACACGAUUUCACCCAUGACGCAGUUUCCAAGUUCUGGCCACAUGUAUAUUUCAGUAACAUAUUUUAUCCCACAAUAAUUGAUUUUGUAUGGCAAGACAUGGGUUUCACAGUUAUAUAUGUGAAGUACGGAUGAGGAGGUCGUCGAGACGGGCGGCUAGAUGGAAUAGAUGGCGUGCGGCAAGUAAAGACUUGGAUCGAGUCAAGACUCAAUACUAAAGGAUAUACUCAACGAGAUGAACGACCUAGGAAAUCAGAUUAGAACAAGGUUAGGUGGUAUUUUCUGUUUAUUUAUUUUUGAGGAGUAUAUUAA
Triticum aestivum (bread wheat) is the source of this 489-nucleotide long non-coding RNA. RefSeq lists it as uncharacterized. The transcript has 3 exons. Lineage: Eukaryota; Viridiplantae; Streptophyta; Magnoliopsida; Poales; Poaceae. The record is from RefSeq and is a predicted model, not a curated record.